This 616-nucleotide long non-coding RNA is filed under the name Nicotiana tabacum (common tobacco). Its description in RNAcentral is "long non-coding RNA (NTAB_LNC017084)". The record is from RNAcentral. Lineage: Eukaryota; Viridiplantae; Streptophyta; Magnoliopsida; Solanales; Solanaceae.
UUCACUGGUCUUAAAAUGGGAUAUGCCAUUGAUCAAGGGGAGGAACACCAAACACCUUUAUCUAUUAGAGUGCAAAUACAAUAAAGAAAAAAGUAGCACUGUGUUCCGGUUCUUUGGGAUGGAAGAUAAUCUCAGGUCUUGAUACACUUCCACAACAGAAAUCAAAUUCCAAAGAGAGCAACUCAACAAUCAAGGUUGGUUGAAGUGCAAGUACUGGGCAGAAUCCCAAAAAAUGGGAUAUGCAAUUGAUCAAGGGGAGGAACACCAAACACCUUUAUCUAUAGAGUGCAAAUACAAUAAAGAAAAAAGUAGCACUGUUUUUCGGUUCUUUGGGAUGGAAGAUAAUCUCAGGUCUUGAUACACUUCCACAACAGAAAUCAAAUUCCAAAGAGAGCUACUCAACAAUCAAGGUUGGGUGAAGUGCAAGUACUGGGCAGAAUCCGAAAAGAAUUUACAAGGUUGACUGGAAAGCACUAGGCAGCCAAAAGAAAACAGAAGCCGCAAAGUCUACAAUUUAAAACCAUAACGCUUUUAGUUAUUGCCAGAACUAAUUCUUGAAUGCUUCAGCUCCACAAGUGAAAAGGCCAAAGCAGCAACAGAGUAGUUAAUGGAUUAG